This 337-nucleotide ribosomal RNA is filed under the name uncultured bacterium. RNAcentral's name for it is "partial 16S ribosomal RNA". It matches the Rfam family "Bacterial small subunit ribosomal RNA", at positions 355 to 709 of the family's 1533-position model. The record is from RNAcentral.
UGGGGAAUAUUGGACAAUGGGGGCAACCCUGAUCCAGCAAUGCCGCGUGUGUGAAGAAGGUCUUCGGAUUGUAAAGCACUUUCGACGGGGACGAUGAUGACGGUACCCGUAGAAGAAGCCCCGGCUAACUUCGUGCCAGCAGCCGCGGUAAUACGAAGGGGGCUAGCGUUGCUCGGAAUGACUGGGCGUAAAGGGCGUGUAGGCGGUUUACACAGUCAGAUGUGAAAUCCCCGGGCUUAACCUGGGAGCUGCAUUUGAUACGUGUAGACUAGAGUGUGAGAGAGGGUUGUGGAAUUCCCAGUGUAGAGGUGAAAUUCGUAGAUAUUGGGAAGAACAC